This 87-nucleotide transfer RNA is filed under the name Desulfobulbus propionicus. Its description in RNAcentral is "tRNA-Leu". It matches the Rfam family "tRNA". Rfam says of the family: Transfer RNA (tRNA) molecules are approximately 80 nucleotides in length. Lineage: Bacteria; Pseudomonadati; Thermodesulfobacteriota; Desulfobulbia; Desulfobulbales; Desulfobulbaceae. The record is from RNAcentral.
GCCCGGAUGGCGGAACUGGUAGACGCAAGGGACUUAAAAUCCCUCGCCCGUAUGGGUGUGCGAGUUCGACUCUCGCUCCGGGCACCA